Molecule: long non-coding RNA, 805 nt
Organism: Oncorhynchus nerka (sockeye salmon)
Lineage: Eukaryota; Metazoa; Chordata; Actinopteri; Salmoniformes; Salmonidae
Exons: 2
Source: RefSeq, a predicted model, not a curated record
GUCCACUAUUGUGGCUAAUCCUUAUUGUGGCUAGCUUCACAUAGAUGGGUGCGACCACCAUUAAUCAAAUAAGAACUGUCUUAUAAAUGAGAGUUAUUUUAGAUGACACCUAGCUAUAUAGUUAGCUAGCUAACUAUAGCUACUGAAACAGAUUGUCGUGUUAUUUGACAUGUAUCUUUUUUGACAUGCAAAGGUCCAAACGGCAUUCCAUAGAAAUCCUGGUUGAGAAUGCAACGACUGAACAAAUGAACAACGAAACAGCACAGCAAGACCUGAGCCCUAGGACCAUGCCCCAGGACUACCUGACAUGAUGACUCCUUGCUGUCCCCAGUCCACCUGACUGUGCUGCUGCUCCAGUUUCAACUGUUCUGCCUUAUUAUUAUUCGACCAUGCUGGUCAUUUAUGAACAUUUGAACAUCUUGGUCAUGUUCUGUUAUAAUCUCUACCCGGCACAGCCAGAAGAGGACUGGCCACCCCACAUAGCCUGGUUCCUCUCUAGGUUUCUUCCUAGGUUUUGGCCUUUCUAAGGAGUUUUUCCUAGCCACCGUGCUUUUACACCUGCAUUGUUUGCUGUUUGGGGUUUUAGGCUGGGUUUCUGUACAGCACUUUGAGAUAUCAGCUGAUGUACGAAGGGCUAUAUAAAUAAAUUUGAUUUGAUUUGAUUUGAUCAGAAGCUUCAAAUGGCAUGACAUUUUCUGGAAUUUUCCAAGCUAUUUAAAGGCAGUCAAUCAAGUGUAUGUAAACUUCUGACCCACUGGAAUUGUGAUAGUGAAAUCAUGUCUGUAAAUAAUUGUUGGGAAAAUUA